AUCAUCAGGCCCUCUUCACUGUCAUGGAAAUUUUAAGAGCCUUGUCUUCUUAUUUGGAGUUUCUCCUAUAUGUGCAUCAUUGCAUACAAUUAUGUAAGUUGUUCCCUGCAUAAGGGCAUUGCACAGAGAAGGUCUCCCUUCAGAGUUCCAGCCACAUAUUCCCCUUCUCAGCGGGAACCUGCCUAUGCUGUCUCACAGACACCAACGCUGAACUGGUGGUCUCUCCCACACAUUUACUCCUUUCCCAAAUAUUCACCAUUUUUCACCACAGUUUUGAUUACUACUUGUAUAUACAUGCAGACCUGCAUACAUGUGUUCUUAUGUGAGGAAAUAUAUAAAAAUGUUUAUAUAUGUGUGUGUUUACACAUAUAAGGCAGAAGCCUUAGCAUUUUAUUUUGUGCUGUAUCUCUAGUGCCUGCAGUAGUGGCUGAUGUAAAACAGAUACUCAAUAAAUAUUUGUCAAAUGGACAAAUUUCCUGCUGGAACAAUA
Non-coding RNA from Heterocephalus glaber (naked mole-rat), 490 nucleotides. NCBI's taxonomy places the organism in Eukaryota, Metazoa, Chordata, Mammalia, Rodentia, Bathyergidae. The record is from RefSeq and is a predicted model, not a curated record.